Molecule: long non-coding RNA, 298 nt
Filed under: Nicotiana benthamiana
Lineage: Eukaryota; Viridiplantae; Streptophyta; Magnoliopsida; Solanales; Solanaceae
Description: long non-coding RNA (NBEN_LNC025610)
Source: RNAcentral
CAAUACACAAACAUAAUUAAAUAUAAGGCUAAUAUCAUUCUUAACCCUACCAUUAACCCAAUAAAUAAGAGAAGGAUAAGGAUUGAACCUUAAUUUCUUACAACUAUAUUCUGUGUUUGAACGUGCAAAGAAGGUCAGCGUGGUAAACCAGCCGGCAAACUCGUAUAAGAAGAUAAUGUACCGUGAUGGUUAGAGACUCGUGUUGGUAAUUGUCGAAGGUCUUGGAAGUGCGCCCAGCUUGUCCUGAAAGCACGUUUGAUUCCCUCGAAAUUGCAUUUAGAGUGGAUCUCACUGCCUU